GUUUGUAGGUAUACUGAAUAGGAUGUGUGGUUUGUAGGUAUACUGAAUAGGAUGUGUGGUUUGUAGGUAUACUGAAUAGGAUAUGUGGUUUGUAGGUAUACUGAAUAGGAUAUGUGGUUUGUAGGUAACUGAAUAGGAUAUGUGGUUUGUAGGUAUACUGAAUAGGAUAUGUGGUUUGUAGGUAUACUGAAUAGGAUAUGUGGUUUGUAGGUAACUGAAUAGGAUAUGUGGUUUGUAGGUAUACUGAAUAGGAUAUGUGGUUUGUAGGUAACUGAAUAGGAUAUGUGGUUUGUAGGUAUACUGAAUAGGAUAUGUGGUUUGUAGGUAACUGAAUAGGAUAUGUGGUUUGUAGGUAUACUGAAUAGGAUAUGUGGUUUGUAGGUAUACUGAAUAGGAUAUGUGGUUUGUAGGUAACUGAAUAGGAUAUGUGGUUUGUAGGUAUACUGAAUAGGAUAUGUGGUUUGUAGGUAACUGAAUAGGAUAUGUGGUUUGUAGGUAUACUGAAUAGGAUAUGUGGUUUGUAGGUAAACUGAAUAGGAUAUGUGGUUUGUAGGUAUACUUUAUAUAUGAAUAAAACUAAACAUGCCAUAUUGCAUAAACUUCAAAUCAUGAUGGUUUAUAAAUAACAUAUGAAAGGUGAUCAUUCGUUU
Molecule: long non-coding RNA, 650 nt
Organism: Mytilus californianus (California mussel)
Lineage: Eukaryota; Metazoa; Mollusca; Bivalvia; Mytilida; Mytilidae
Exons: 4
Source: RefSeq, a predicted model, not a curated record